Molecule: ribosomal RNA, 496 nt
Filed under: uncultured bacterium
Lineage: Bacteria
Description: partial 16S ribosomal RNA
Rfam family: Bacterial small subunit ribosomal RNA
Source: RNAcentral
GAUGAACGCUGGCGGCGUGCCUAAUACAUGCAAGUCGAGCGAACGGACGAGAAGCUUGCUUCUCUGAUGUUAGCGGCGGACGGGUGAGUAACACGUGGAUAACCUACCUAUAAGACUGGGAUAACUUCGGGAAACCGUAGCUAAUACCGGAUAAUAUUUUGAACCGCAUGGUUCAAAAGUGAAAGACGGUCUUGCUGUCACUUAUAGAUGGAUCCGCGCUGCAUUAGCUAGUUGGUAAGGUAACGGCUUACCAAGGCAACGAUGCAUAGCCGACCUGAGAGGUGAAUCGGCCCACUGGGACCUAGAACCGGGCCCAACCCCCUACGGGGGGCAGCGUGGGGAAUCUUUCCGAAAGGGCGGAAACCCUGACGGAGCAACCCGGGGGGGGGAAUGAGGGUUUUCGGUUCUUAAACCCUUUUUAUUGGGGAAAAAAAAAUGGGUAAAUAACUUUGCACAUCUGGCGGGUACCAAAGCAAAAAGCCCCGCCAACCUCCGU